Bufo bufo (common toad) is the source of this 197-nucleotide long non-coding RNA. RefSeq lists it as uncharacterized. The transcript is spliced from 5 exons. The record is from RefSeq and is a predicted model, not a curated record. NCBI's taxonomy places the organism in Eukaryota, Metazoa, Chordata, Amphibia, Anura, Bufonidae.
CAUGUAGCUCUAUAGUACAGAGGUGGAGGCUAAAAUAGAUUUAAAUACACUGGGGUGUCCCCAAGCACUGACUCCAUAUAUGGAUAUAGCUAUAUGUGGAGUCAAAGCAGGGACUCCUUAGCCUGACUAGAAUCCCGACACCCUCCCCUCUGAGCAGCGGGUGUCUGGGGUUCUCCCACUGACUUCCACUGUGCUCG